AGUCAAGUCCGCUCUCUCUCUCUAAAUCCCUCUCUUCUCACUAUCUUUGCUGCAUCUCUCUCACAGCUGCUGUGGCCUGUGAUACGAGAAGAAACGCUGCAGAUGGCAGAUUCUGUAGAGCCGCGGGACUCCGUCGCAGAACCGUCGGACUCCGACGCAGAAUCUGAAUUCUCCAGCGAGAUGAAGAUCUUUGUGCGGUUGGAGGCCGUCCAUAGCUACGUUCUUCUGGUGGACGGCGAUAACACCGUCGAAUUCAGAUUCACAUUUCUAGCUAAGUUUAUUUUUAAAUAAAAUAAACGAAACGAGUAGCGUGUUACCUAUCUCUCAAAAAAAAAAAAAACACCGCCGAGGAUGUGCUGGUCAAGUUCUUGGCAGCGACAGGGCUGGGCGGGUGCCGGAGCCGAGGCUUUAUUUCAAUGACUUGGAAUUGGAGAAGCAGAAAACGUUGGCGGAAUACGGAAUCAAACUCGGCUCCGUGCUGCACCUCAAGUGCACGACGCGGGUGUUGGCACGUGCUCAUGAGUAUGCUUAAUUGGCUAAUAAUUUUAAUUUCGAAUUGGUUUCAUAUUAA
This is a long non-coding RNA of Ananas comosus (pineapple), 571 nucleotides long. RefSeq lists it as uncharacterized. The transcript is spliced from 2 exons. The record is from RefSeq and is a predicted model, not a curated record. Lineage: Eukaryota; Viridiplantae; Streptophyta; Magnoliopsida; Poales; Bromeliaceae.